This 1197-nucleotide long non-coding RNA is filed under the name Gopherus evgoodei (Goodes thornscrub tortoise). Its description in RNAcentral is "lncRNA (ENSGEVG00005020581.1)". The record is from RNAcentral. Lineage: Eukaryota; Metazoa; Chordata; Testudines; Testudinidae.
GGGCUGGUGGGUCAGAGCAGGGGGGCUGGGAGCCAGGACUCCUGGGUUCUCUCCCCGGCUCUGGGAGGGGAGUGGGGACUGGUGCGAGCAGGGGGGGGCUGGGAGCCAGGACUCCUGGGUUCUCUCCCAACUCUGGGAGGGGAGUGGGGGCUGGUGGGUCAGAGCAGGGGGAGCUGGGAGCCCGGACUCCUGGGUUCUCUCCCUGGCUCUGGGAGGGGAGUAGGGGCUGGUGGGUCAGAGCAGGGGGGCUGGGAGCCAGGACUCCUGGGUUCUCUCCCCGGCUCUGGGAGGGGAGUAGGGGCUGGUGGGUCAGAGCAGGGGGGCUGGGAGCCAGGACUCCUUGGUUCUCUCCCCGGCUCUGGGAGGGGAGUGGGGGCUGGUGCGAGCAGGGGGGGGCUGGGAGCCAGGACUCCUGGGUUCUCUCCCAACUCUGGAGGGGAGUGGGGGCUGGUGGGUCAGAGCAGGGGGAGCUGGGAGCCCGGACUCCUGGGUUCUCUCCCCGGCUCUGGGAGGGGAGUAGGGGCUGGUGGGUCAGAGCAGGGGGGCUGGGAGCCAGGACUCCUGGGUUCUCUCCCCGGCUCUGGGAGGGGAGUAGGGGCUGGUGGGUCAGAGCAGGGGGGCUGGGAGCCAGGACUCCUGGGUUCUCUCCCUGGCUCUGGGAGGGGAGUGGGGGCUGGUGGGUCAGAGCAGGGGGGGCUGGGAGCCCGGACUCCUGGGUUCUCUCCCUGGCUCUGGGAGGGGAGUAGGGGCUGGUGGGUCAGAGCAGGGGGGCUGGGAGCCAGGACUCCUGGGUUCUCUCCCCGGCUCUGGGAGGGGAGUAGGGGCUGGUGGGUCAGAGCAGGGGGGCUGGGAGCCAGGACUCCUGGGUUCUCUCCCCGGCUCUGGGAGGGGAGUGGGGGCUGGUGGGUCAGAGCAGGGGGGGUGGGAGCCAGGACUCCUGGGUUCUCUCCCCGGCUUUGGGAGGGGAGUGGGGGCUGGUGGUUAGAGCAGGGGGGGCUGGGAGCCAGGACUCCUGGGUUCUCUCCCUGGCUCCCAGGGCUCUUGCGCCCUCUAGUGGCCGAAGGGGGUAAAUCUCCCCUCCCUGCGGGCCCAGGCUCCUGUCACCAGCCCCAGUCGGCUCUUGGGGGCCAGAGUCCGAGUCUCCCCCCCGCCAGGACUGUCCCCUACAAAUCUUCAGCCUCAGUUUCCCCUGCAUGA